Phoenix dactylifera (date palm) is the source of this 977-nucleotide non-coding RNA. Lineage: Eukaryota; Viridiplantae; Streptophyta; Magnoliopsida; Arecales; Arecaceae. The record is from RefSeq and is a predicted model, not a curated record.
UUCUUUUUCUUCUCUCCUCCCUUCUUCUUCUUCUUCUUUCUUCCCGAAGGUUCUUCGUCCCUCUUUCUUCUCCCGCGAAGGAAGAACAGCUCGGGAAAAAUGGGCAGCGGCCGACGGCGCCCGCCGGCCGGCCGAUAGCGCCCACGGCCGUGCCCGCGGCCGGCGGCCCGCGCCCCGCGGCCUGCGACCUGCGGCGGAGGUCGGCGCCCGCGGAUCGACCACCGGUGGUCGUCCGCCUCCUGCUCCAUCGAUGCGGCCAUCUGCUCCGGCGGCUUGGGUCUAACACCGGGUCCUGCCAACCGGGGAGGAUUGUGAGAGAGAGACGGUGGAGGGGAACAGAGAGAAGGCAGUGGUGAAGUGCUCCACCGAUCGAGGCUUCUUGUAGCCUCUGAUUGCUGGGAAAGACGGACGGUUGUAACCGCCCACCAUCAGGCAAUUACAAACGCCCGCCCUUUGGUGUGAUGGCCUCCCCCCGUUUCUCGCAGAAAGGGGAACGGUUAUCACAGUUCUCACCAUUGCCUAUGUCACUGGUAACAUCUUGUAGCUUUUUAGUUUCAGUUAUUGAGCAGGCAGUAGCUACAUCCGUAUACAUCUGGUUCAUGUGUAGAGAGGAUCCAGAAGUCUGAUGCGUAUAUGGAUUGAGUAGAUCCUGAUCGUUGUUAAGAAGUGACUAGAUGAGAAGUUUUAUUGGUUUGUAUGCAUUGAGAGAACGCGAUUUCACUUUCAGAAACUCUAAAGGAUAUCUCUUAAUGUACAUAUGAAUUUCAGAGAAACAAAAUGUUGACAUGUAGACCUCUCGAUCAGAAAGAAAGAUCUGAUUUAGAUCCAAAGAAUUAGCAACAAUGUCGAGACUUCUUUUUCUUUAGUUAAGUACUGCUGCUCAACAGAUUACUGUAUCUCAACAUCUCUUCAAACAUAGAACGACAUAGAGAUUGAAGCAAUCUUUCUGUAAAUAAAGGGCUUCCGAAAGCAGCUCA